GUCCCUGUAGCUCAGUUGGAUAGAGCAUUUGCCUUCUAAGCAAAGGGUCGCACGUUCGAUUCGUGCCAGGGACGCCA
Molecule: transfer RNA, 77 nt
Filed under: Omnitrophica WOR_2 bacterium GWA2_47_8
Lineage: Bacteria; Pseudomonadati; Candidatus Omnitrophota
Description: tRNA-Arg
Rfam family: tRNA
About the family: Transfer RNA (tRNA) molecules are approximately 80 nucleotides in length. Their secondary structure includes four short double-helical elements and three loops (D, anti-codon, and T loops). Further hydrogen bonds mediate the characteristic L-shaped molecular structure. tRNAs have two regions of fundamental functional importance: the anti-codon, which is responsible for specific mRNA codon recognition, and the 3' end, to which the tRNAs corresponding amino acid is attached (by aminoacyl-tRNA synthetases). tRNAs cope with the degeneracy of the genetic code in two manners: having more than one tRNA (with a specific anti-codon) for a particular amino acid; and 'wobble' base-pairing, i.e. permitting non-standard base-pairing at the 3rd anti-codon position.
Source: RNAcentral